Molecule: ribosomal RNA, 2092 nt
Filed under: human gut metagenome
Description: bacterial LSU rRNA
Rfam family: Bacterial large subunit ribosomal RNA
Source: RNAcentral
AAGCCGGGCGAAACAGGGUGAGAGCCCCGUACCCGAAGGACCGCGGGCCCGAGAGAGGGAUCCCGAGUAAUGCCGGACACGUGAAACCCGGUAUGAAUCUGGGGGGACCACCCUCCAAGGCUAAGCACUCUCCUAUGACCGAUAGCGAACCAGUACCGUGAGGGAAAGGUGAAAAGCACCCCGAGAGGGGAGUGAAACAGUACCUGAAACCGUGUGCCUACAAGCAGUCGGAGCAGCCAUGCGCUGUGACGGCGUGCCUUUUGUAGAAUGAGCCAGCGAGUUGCGGUUGGCGGCGAGGUUAAGGCGUGAACCGAGCCGCAGUGAAAGCGAGCCUUUAAGAUGGCGAUCAGUCGCCAGCCGCAGACGCGAAGCCGGGUGAUCUAUCCAUGGGCAGGCUGAGGCAGAGGUAAGACUCUGUGGAGGGCCGAACCCACUUCGGUUGAAAACGGAGGGGAUGACCUGUGGAUAGGGGUGAAAGGCCAAUCAAACCCGGAGAUAUCUCGUUCUCCCCGAAAUAGCUUUAGGGCUAGCCUCGAUCGCUUACCGACGGUGGUAGAGCACUGGAUCCGUGCGGGGGCCUCACCGCCUACCAACCGAAACCAAACUCCGAAUGCCGUCGGUCCCGAGAUCGGGAGUCAGAACAUGUGGGCUAAGCCGUGUGUUCGAGAGGGAAACAGCCCAGACCGCCUGCUAAGGUCCCCAAAUCAACGCUGAGUGGCAAAGGAUGUGCGUUUGCCUAGACAACCAGGAUGUUGGCUUAGAAGCAGCCAUGCAUUUAAAGAGUGCGUAACAGCUCACUGGUCAAGUGGACAUGCGCCGACAAUACACGGGGCUAAGCGUUGUACCGAAGCAGCGGACUGUUUUAUCAGUGGUAGGGGAGCUUUCCAUGCCGGGGCGAAGCCGACGGGCGACCGUCGGUGGACUGCAUGGAAGUGAGAAUGCUGGCAUGAGUAACGAGAGAGGGGCGAGAAACCCCUCCGCCGUAAGCCUAAGGGUUCCUGGGCAAGGCUAAUCCCCCCAGGGUCAGUCGGGAGCUAAGGCGAGGCCGACAGGCGUAGCCGAUGCACAACAGGCGGACAUUCCUGUACCACCGCGGAGCGUUACUACGACGGGGUGACGGAGAAGGGUAGCCGGGCGGGGUUCUGGACGUCCCCGUGAAAGCGCGUAGGCCGCAGGGCAGGCAAAUCCGCCCUGCAGCAGGCCGAGACGUUAGACGAAGCUUCAUGUGAAGCCGGCGAGCCCAUGCUUCCGAGAAAAACCUCUAAGGAGCGAGGCGGUGCCCGUACCAAAACCGACACAGGUAGGCGGGUAGAGCAUACCAAGGCGAUCGGGAGAACCAUGGUUAAGGAACUCGGCAUACUGACUCCGUAACUUCGGGAGAAGGAGUGCCCCCGCCUGUGAGGUCCCACGCGGACGGAGCGGGAGGGGGUCGCAGCGAAACGGCCCAAGCGACUGUUUACCAAAAACACAGGACUCUGCAAAGCCGCAAGGCGACGUAUAGGGUCUGACGCCUGCCCGGUGCUGGAAGGUUACGCGGAUGAGUUAGCGCAAGCGAAGCCCUGAAGCCAAGCCCCAGUAAACGGCGGCCGUAACUAUAACGGUCCUAAGGUAGCGAAAUUCCUUGUCGGGUAAGUUCCGACCUGCACGAAUGGCGUAACGACUUGGGCGCUGUCUCAACCAUGGACCCGGUGAAAUUGUAUUAUUCGUGAAGAUGCGAAUUACCUGCGGAAGGACGGAAAGACCCCGUGAACCUUUACUGCAGCUUGGCAUUGGCUGUUGGUGCGGUGCGUAGAGGAUAGGCAGGAGCCUGCGAACCGGGAACGCCAGUUCCCGGGGAGGCGCCCUUGGAAUACUGCCCUCACCGCAUCGGCAGCCUAACGCGCCGCCCUCAUCGGGGGCGCGGACCGUGCCAGGUGGGUAGUUUGACUGGGGCGGUCGCCUCCUAAACUGUAACGGAGGCGUGCGAAGGUUCGCUCAGGGCGGUUGGCAAUCGCCCGCAGAGCACAAGAGUACAAGCGAGCCUGACUGCGAGACCAACAAGUCGAGCAGAGACGAAAGUCGGUUCUAGUGAUCCGGCGGCCCAGCGUGGAAU